Molecule: ribosomal RNA, 253 nt
Filed under: uncultured bacterium
Lineage: Bacteria
Description: partial 16S ribosomal RNA
Rfam family: Bacterial small subunit ribosomal RNA
Source: RNAcentral
GACGAGGGAUCCUAGCGUUGCUCGGAAUCAUUGGGCGUAAAGCGGGUGUAGGUGGUUAACUAAGUCAGGAGUGAAAGCCCUAGGCUCAACCUGGGAAGUGCUUUUGAAACUGGUUAACUUGAGUGUGGGAGAGGAUAGUAGAAUUCCUGGUGUAGUGGUGAAAUACGUAGAUAUCAGGAGGAAUUCCAGUGGGGAAGCCGGCUAUCUGGCCCAACACUGACACUCAGACCCGAAAGCGUGGGGAUCAAACAGG